GUGGGGAAUCUUCCGCAAUGGACGAAAGUCUGACGGAGCGACGCCGCGUGAGUGAAGAAGGCCUUCGGGUCGUAAAGCUCUGUCAUCAGGGACGAACGGCCGGUGGAGUGGAAAGCCACCGGAUUGACGGUACCUGAGAAGGAAGCCACGGCUAACUACGUGCCAGCAGCCGCGGUAAUACGUAGGUGGCAAGCGUUGUCCGGAAUUAUUGGGCGUAAAGCGCGCGCCGGUGGGAUCUUAAGUCCAUUUUUAAAGUUCGGAGCUCAACUCCGUGAUGGGAGGGAGACUGGGAUUCUUGAGUACCGGGGAGGAAAGCGGAAUUCCCCGUGUAGCGGUGAAAUGCGUAGAGAUGUGGAAGAACACCAGGUGCGAAGGCGACUUUCUGGACGAUGUCUGACGCUGAGGCGCGAAAGCUAGGGGAGCGAACGGGAUUAGAUACCCUUGUAGUCC
RNAcentral lists this ribosomal RNA (450 nucleotides) under uncultured bacterium. RNAcentral describes it as "partial 16S ribosomal RNA". It matches the Rfam family "Bacterial small subunit ribosomal RNA", at positions 354 to 796 of the family's 1533-position model. The record is from RNAcentral.